AAAGCCCUGCGCUGUUCGUGGAUUUUUGGCUCUCUUAAACCCACAUUUUUAAUAAGGGAUGCCGGCUUCCUAAGACGAUUGCAGGCCUCCCGGUCAGGUCUCUGAGCCUGAUUGGACGUUGGAAGCAGUGAAGCUGUGGAGAGGCGACCCACCUGCCGAGUCGUGCAGGUUAUAAUUGAGCCCCACGGCAGGGCGGGGUACU
This 202-nucleotide non-coding RNA is filed under the name Oscillospiraceae bacterium. RNAcentral describes it as "6S RNA". It matches the Rfam family "6S / SsrS RNA". From Rfam's summary of the family: E. coli 6S RNA was the first non coding RNA to be sequenced, but its function was unknown until recently. Lineage: Bacteria; Bacillati; Bacillota; Clostridia; Eubacteriales; Oscillospiraceae. The record is from RNAcentral.